GGGCUCGUAGUCCAGUGGCUAAGACGUCGCUUUGACGUAGCGAAGAUCAGGAGUUCGAAUCUCCUCGGGCCCA
Molecule: transfer RNA, 73 nt
Filed under: Candidatus Woesearchaeota archaeon
Lineage: Archaea; Nanobdellati; Candidatus Woesearchaeota
Description: tRNA-Val
Rfam family: tRNA
About the family: Transfer RNA (tRNA) molecules are approximately 80 nucleotides in length. Their secondary structure includes four short double-helical elements and three loops (D, anti-codon, and T loops).
Source: RNAcentral